This is a long non-coding RNA of Schistocerca gregaria, 3382 nucleotides long. RefSeq lists it as uncharacterized. The record is from RefSeq and is a predicted model, not a curated record. Lineage: Eukaryota; Metazoa; Arthropoda; Insecta; Orthoptera; Acrididae. The transcript has 3 exons.
AGUGCGGCAUCAGCACGUAACUUAACAGUGUCUUCUCGGAGCUUCUGCGUGUCUCCUCUACGCGGGAACACCACAGGAAGAAUCAUCCAAGACGUCACUAAUCAGUAAGGAUCAAGAGACCGCAGCCGCGGACGUGGGUGCCCUGCCAGACGGCGGGGUCUGCGCCCUGGCGAUGUCGGUGGCUGGGGUAUGUGGCUGGUGGCACACGGGGCCGUCUCGGCAGACAGGAGUCCCACGUUCGAACCUAUCCUGAGGCAGCUGCUGGGCUACGUGUACACCGUCCAGGCCCGCCAGCUGCCUGGUGUGGUCCCCCAAGUGCUGGCAGCAGCUGACAAGUACAGCUGGUUGGCCCUGGAGGCUGUGUGUGAGCAGCAGGUGGCCGCAUAGCCGGCAGUGGAGACUGCGUUGGAUGUAGCUCUACUUGCGCCGAGGCUCUCGUGCCCCGUCCUCGCUGUGCUUGCUGUCCCCUUCGUACAGGACCACUCUGAGGUGAUGGCCACCCAGAGCUGGGCAGACUCUGUGCUCAAGUACCCAAAAGAUGUCACUGAUGUGAGCCGUCUGCUCGGAGAGCCACCAGCAGAUGCCUGGAGCUCGUCUGCAGAGAAGAGAGGCAGUAGGCUGUUCCAGGCAGCUGCGUAGGGGGCAGUGGGGGAGCUGAGGCUGCUGGUCACCGCAGGGGCCGGCGCUGAGACGAGGGGUCGGAGGUCGUUCUGGAGGGGGCCGCCCCGCACUUUGCAGCAAGGGAGGGGCGCGUGGAAGGGCCGGGGUGCCUCGUGGAGGGCGGUGCCACAGUACACGGCCGCAGGGAAUGGUCACCCAGCUGUGGCCCAGCUGCUGUUGUGCCCUCGGCCGAUCCCAAAUGCCAGGGAUGACAACUGGUGGAUGCCGCUGCACACUGUGCACCGUGCAGUAGUCACGCAGAUGUGGCGGCUACGCGCUGCCCGUGGUGGGGGCCGAAGGGGUAGGGCAGGACUCCAGAUUGCCCCGCACGACCCUGGAUCUCGGCCAGGAAGGGCUACGAGAGGCAUCUGAUGGAGAUGCUGUCGUGAGGCAUCCAGUCCAGAGAACUCCUCUGCAAUAAAUAUUCUUUCUUUUAACCAAAGAAUGCCCAGAUUCAAUCUUAUUGAUGACGUUAGAUAAACAAUAGGCAAAAAUGUGUCGAGUAUGCUUGUAGGCUAACUUUUGAAAAGACAAUGGGGACUGAAAAAUAACUCAGUUCAUUGUGAAUAAAAACAACUACUCUAAUAUCCGAUUGGUGAAAAGUAUUUCACAUCAGCCUAAAAGCUGCUGUAUCAAAAACCAGUAAUUUGCAACCAACUGAGAUUACUGUGUAUGAGUUCUGUGACUAUAAUUGUCACUUCUGAUAUCAGACUCUGUUUACUUCUGCAUAUUCACCAGACAUUGUACAGUACUGUACCGCUUUUGUUUAAUUACAAUGUCAUAUUAGUAUCAAUAUUCACACCUCACAAUGCACUUAUCAUCGGGAACUAUACAAGCAGUCCACAUUUAACUAAAGAGAAUGGACCUUUACUCUGGUGUUACAGUAAAUUUCCCCACUUUCUUCCAUAUUCUCCUCCCGUCGGUCUGCAGUGCUGUUCCUUCAGCCAGGAGUCGCAUCAGCUGAGCACCUGUAGGGGCCGCCGUGCAACCCACCACCCACACUGCCCCCAGCGACUGUCUGCAGAACUGUGGCUCUCAUCCACUCUGCGACACACCAGAACGUCACGCCUUUCCCACUAUCAUUGUGCUGGUAAUAUACUGUGGCAUGACUAUCCACAUAGAAAGAACUUUGCAAUUUGCAAAAAUGAGUUAGAAAACAGUAUAAUAAGCAGUUAACAGUGGUUAAAUGCUGAAUUGCAGCUGAGAACCAGACAGCAACUACAGUGUAUCCUCAAAGCUCUCAUACAGUGGCAGAAACUUGGGGAAUUUAUGUCCCUGCGGGUUGGCUACCCACGCCUUCCAAGGCUGAAGAUUUUUGCUGCUGGACGACUCUCAUGGACGAAAUCGAUGUUUUGGAAGCUCCCCCUGUUGCCUGCUGCUGCUGCUGGCUACCGCCCGUCACUGCCAACUUCUGGUGUUCAUCGCCAUCUGCUGCUGUCCAAUGCUGCCUAUUGUUGGUGCCGUCGCCACGUACUCCUGGUGCCGUCGCCGUCAACCGAUGGGGCCCGUCACCGGCUAAUGCUGGUACCCAUUGCCGCCACCAUCACUGCUGUCGUCCGUCGCCGUUGCUGUCCUUUCCGGUCUUCCCAUCUCUGACUCCUGAUUAGCCCUGUCUUCCUUUUUUCUCCCUACCUCAGCAACGCCAGAGGUGUUGGUGGUAUCGAAUGCCCACCUGCCCUAGAAAUCCGCUCAGCGCGACGCAUCUGCGACGACUCUGGCCCUACCUUCCCAAGGCACGUGUUUACAGAUUCUGCCUCCUCUACUGAUCAUCUCACUCGGGGAGCUCUCAUUUUUCACUGUCGCCUCCUCAGUUCUACUCCUGACAACGGUGCUCCCUAUACAGUGAUCACUUCACCCAAAAUUGCAGAAACCCCCAACCUACCUCCAUUGUACAGCCCCCCACUUUCUAAAACAGUGUCCUAACCUUGCGUCUCCUCUUUACUGCAAGACCUGCAGUAAAUCCCUUCCAAUUUACUUCUACAAAUGCAACACCACACCCCCUCUCAACAGCCCCGAGCUUACUGUCACCGUUCACCCCACCGAUCAGCCCAUCCACCCUAAUUCCCUUUGCCUACCCCCUAUGGCCAGAGAGAUCAUCCAUUAACUCAUCAUUGUUCUCCAGAACAUACACCCCUUCCAAUGCCCCCACACCCUCCAGUACAUAUCCCUUGCUGCCUCCUCCAUCUUCCAUUUGAACACCUACACCAUCUAAUCCUACAACCAGGCCCACUUCACCUUUACCUGCCUCUACACUCUCAUUUAAGCCUCUCUCUUCUCCCCUCUCCUGCUCCUCGGAGUGCCAUCCGACCCCAUUUUUCCAUCCCACCAUCUCCAGCUCCUCGUUCCCCCACUGCCACCUCCAUUCUCUUACCUUCUUUCAGGCCUCCCUCCCUCAGCAGGUCUCUCCUGUCUUCUUUCUCAUGAUUUUAAUCCUUGUCAUGUGUGCCACACCUACUGCACUGUUUUUGAAGUCCUGUUGUUUUGGAUUUUAAUACUGUGGCCUACUUUCAUCUUGGGCCUGUGACUCCAGUGUGUUUUAAGUGCUACAUACAUCAUCAAGUGUGUUUCUGUUUGCGUGUGGGCCCUUUUUAACUGUGUCCCACAGUGAACACCUCGAUGUCAGCAUAUUUUUAGCCCCAUUAUGUUCUUAUAUUCCCCUUUUACUGCCUUAUUUGUUUUGUGUCAGCUUUCUUUCUUCCUUUUUUUAAUUUCAUGUAAUAUC